Anolis carolinensis (green anole) is the source of this 75-nucleotide microRNA precursor. Ensembl annotates it as aca-mir-205a. Its record names the gene aca-mir-205a. Lineage: Eukaryota; Metazoa; Chordata; Lepidosauria; Squamata; Anolidae. The record is from Ensembl.
GUUCUAUUGUCCUUCAUUCCACCGGAGUCUGUCUCAUAUCUAAUCAGAUUUCAGUGGAGUGAAGCACAAGAGACA